Non-coding RNA from Ornithorhynchus anatinus (platypus), 132 nucleotides. NCBI's taxonomy places the organism in Eukaryota, Metazoa, Chordata, Mammalia, Monotremata, Ornithorhynchidae. The record is from Rfam.
CCUCUCUUAGGGUCACACCUGGAGAGUUUCCAGUACUCUACCAGUCUCGACUAUGGGAGGUAGAGUCAAGCAGAGGCAUUCCAUUCCUUGCUUGGGUAGUGGCUAGAGAGUGGAAGGCAAUCUGCUACAAAC